Molecule: ribosomal RNA, 169 nt
Filed under: Nannatherina balstoni
Lineage: Eukaryota; Metazoa; Chordata; Actinopteri; Centrarchiformes; Percichthyidae
Description: partial 12S rRNA
Source: RNAcentral
CACCGCGGUUAUACGAGAGACCCAAGUUGAUUGACCCCGGCGUAAAGCGUGGUUAGGAAAAGACUAAAACUAAAGCCGAACAUCUUCAGAACUGUCAUACGCAUCCGAAGAUAAGAAGAUCAACUACGAAAGUGGCUUUACACACUCUGAACCCACGAAAGCUAUGACA